This 253-nucleotide ribosomal RNA is filed under the name uncultured bacterium. RNAcentral's name for it is "partial 16S ribosomal RNA". It matches the Rfam family "Bacterial small subunit ribosomal RNA", at positions 57 to 305 of the family's 1533-position model. The record is from RNAcentral.
GCAAGUCGAACGGUAACAUGAAGUGCUUGCACUUUGAUGACGAGUGGCGCACGGGUGCGUAACGCGUAUACAAUCUACCUUUUACAGGGGGAUAGCCUUUAGAAAUGAAGAUUAAUACCCCAUGGUAUAAUGAUUUGGCAUCAAAUUAUUAUUAAAGUUUCGGCGGUAAAAGAUGAGUAUGCGUUCUAUUAGCUAGAUGGUGUGGUAACGGCACACCAUGGCGACGAUAGAUAGGGGCCCUGAGAGGGGGAUC